RNAcentral lists this transfer RNA (60 nucleotides) under Alectorobius peruvianus. RNAcentral describes it as "tRNA-Leu". The record is from RNAcentral. Lineage: Eukaryota; Metazoa; Arthropoda; Arachnida; Ixodida; Argasidae.
AUUAAAGUGGCAGAUUGAUGCGAGGGAUUUAAGCUCCCUCUAUGAUGUUUUCCUUUAGUA